RNAcentral lists this ribosomal RNA (459 nucleotides) under uncultured bacterium. RNAcentral describes it as "partial 16S ribosomal RNA". It matches the Rfam family "Bacterial small subunit ribosomal RNA", at positions 28 to 507 of the family's 1533-position model. The record is from RNAcentral.
GAUGAACGCUGGCGGCGCGCCUAACACAUGCAAGUCGAACGGCACCCCUCCUCGGAGGGAAGCGAGUGGCGAACGGCUGAGUAACACGUGGAGAACCUGCCCCCUCCCCCGGGAUAGCCGCCCGAAAGGACGGGUAAUACCGGAUACCCCGGGGUGCCGCAUGGCACCCCGGCUAAAGCCCCGACGGGAGGGGAUGGCUCCGCGGCCCAUCAGGUAGACGGCGGGGUGACGGCCCACCGUGCCGACAACGGGUAGCCGGGUUGAGAGACCGACCGGCCAGAUUGGGACUGAGACACGGCCCAGACACCUACGGGAGGCAGCAGUGGGGAAGCUUGCGCAAUGGGGGGAACCCUGACGCAGCGACGCCGCGUGCGGGACGGAGGCCUUCGGGUCGUAAACCGCUUUCAGCAGGGAAGAGUCAAGACUGUACCUGCAGAAGAAGCCCCGGCUAACUACGUG